AUUGAACGCUGGCGGAAUGCUUUACACAUGCAAGUCGAACGGCAGCACGGACUUCGGUCUGGUGGCGAGUGGCGAACGGGUGAGUAAUACAUCGGAACGUGCCCAGUCGUGGGGGAUAACGUAGCGAAAGCUACGCUAAUACCGCAUACGAUCUAAGGAUGAAAGCGGGGGACCGUAAGGCCUCGCGCGAUUGGAGCGGCCGAUGGCAGAUUAGGUAGUUGGUGGGGUAAAGGCUCACCAAGCCGACGAUCUGUAGCUGGUCUGAGAGGACGACCAGCCACACUGGGACUGAGACACGGCCCAGACUCCUACGGGAGGCAGCAGUGGGGAAUUUUGGACAAUGGGCGCAAGCCUGAUCCAGCCAUUCCGCGUGCAGGAUGAAGGCCCUCGGGUUGUAAACUGCUUUUGUACGGAACGAAAAGGCUCUGGUUAAUACCUGGGGCUCAUGACGGUACCGUAAGAAUAAGCACCGGCUAACUACGUGCCAGCCGCCGCCGUAA
RNAcentral lists this ribosomal RNA (500 nucleotides) under uncultured bacterium. RNAcentral describes it as "partial 16S ribosomal RNA". It matches the Rfam family "Bacterial small subunit ribosomal RNA", at positions 30 to 523 of the family's 1533-position model. The record is from RNAcentral.